Small nuclear RNA from Panthera pardus (leopard), 145 nucleotides. Its record names the gene U2. It matches the Rfam family "U2 spliceosomal RNA". From Rfam's summary of the family: U2 is a small nuclear RNA (snRNA) component of the spliceosome (involved in pre-mRNA splicing). The record is from Ensembl. Lineage: Eukaryota; Metazoa; Chordata; Mammalia; Carnivora; Felidae.
AAGGGCACUGGGCCUUUUGGCUAAGAUCAAGUGUAGUAUCUGUUCUUAUCAAUUUAAUGUCUGAUACGUCCUCUAUUGAAAAAGGGCAACUACUACUGAGUUCCAGCUAAUUGUCACAAUGAUACCCAAGGUUGACAGAUCUUCA